This 107-nucleotide small nuclear RNA is filed under the name Camelus bactrianus (Bactrian camel). The record is from RNAcentral. Lineage: Eukaryota; Metazoa; Chordata; Mammalia; Artiodactyla; Camelidae. RNAcentral also lists the same sequence under 1 other name.
GUGCUCACUUCGGCAGCACAUAUACUAAAAUUGGGAUGAUACAGAGAAGAUUAGCAUGGCCCCUGCACAAGGAUGACACACAAAUUCAGGAAGCAUUCCAUAUUUAA